Molecule: ribosomal RNA, 409 nt
Filed under: uncultured bacterium
Lineage: Bacteria
Description: partial 16S ribosomal RNA
Rfam family: Bacterial small subunit ribosomal RNA
Source: RNAcentral
UGGGGAAUUUUGGACAAUGGGCGAAAGCCUGAUCCAGCAAUGCCGCGUGUGUGAAGAAGGCCUUCGGGUUGUAAAGCACUUUUGUCCGGAAAGAAAUCCUUGGCUCUAAUACAGUCGGGGGGAUGACGGUACCGGAAGAAUAAGCACCGGCUAACUACGUGCCAGCAGCCGCGGUAAUACGUAGGGUGCAAGCGUUAAUCGGAAUUACUGGGCGUAAGCGUGCGCAGGCGGUUUGCUAAGACCGAUGUGAAAUCCCCGGGCUCAACCUGGGAACUGCAUUGGUGACUGGCAGGCUAGAGUAUGGCAGAGGGGGGUAGAAUUCCACGUGUGAGCAGUGAAAUGCGUAGAGAUGUGGAGGAAUACCGAUGGCGAAGGCAGCCCCCUGGGCCAAUACUGACGCUCAUGCACG